This 533-nucleotide ribosomal RNA is filed under the name uncultured bacterium. Its description in RNAcentral is "bacterial SSU rRNA". It matches the Rfam family "Bacterial small subunit ribosomal RNA", at positions 397 to 921 of the family's 1533-position model. The record is from RNAcentral.
CCGCGUGAGUGAAGAAGGGUUUCGGCUCGUAAAACUCUGUUGUUGGAGAAGAACGUAUGUGAUAGUAACUGAUCAUGUAGUGACGGUAUCCAACCAGAAAGCCACGGCUAACUACGUGCCAGCAGCCGCGGUAAUACGUAGGUGGCAAGCGUUAUCCGGAUUUAUUGGGCGUAAAGCGAGCGCAGGCGGUUUUUUAAGUCUGAUGUGAAAGCCCUUGGCUCAACCAAGGAAGUGCAUCGGAAACUGGAAAACUUGAGUGCAGAAGAGGACAGUGGAACUCCAUGUGUAGCGGUGAAAUGCGUAGAUAUAUGGAAGAACACCAGUGGCGAAGGCGGCUGUCUGGUCUGUAACUGACGCUGAGGCUCGAAAGCAUGGGUAGCGAACAGGAUUAGAUACCCUGGUAGUCCAUGCCGUAAACGAUGAAUGCUAGGUGUUGGAGGGUUUCCGCCCUUCAGUGCCGGAGCUAACGCAUUAAGCAUUCCGCCUGGGGAGUACGACCGCAAGGUUGAAACUCAAAGGAAUUGACGGAAUCA